AGUCGACGGCAGCACGGGAGCUUGCUCCUGGUGGCGAGUGGCGAACGGGUGAGUAAUAUAUCGGAACGUGCCCUAGAGUGGGGGAUAACUAGUCGAAAGAUUAGCUAAUACCGCAUACGAUCUACGGAUGAAAGUGGGGGAUCGCAAGACCUCAUGCUCAUGGAGCGGCCGAUAUCUGAUUAGCUAGUUGGUGGGGUAAAAGCUCACCAAGGCGACGAUCAGUAGCUGGUCUGAGAGGACGACCAGCCACACUGGAACUGAGACACGGUCCAGACUCCUACGGGAGGCAGCAGUGGGGAAUUUUGGACAAUGGGCGCAAGCCUGAUCCAGCAAUGCCGCGUGAGUGAAGAAGGCCUUCGGGUUGUAAAGCUCUUUUGUCAGGGAAGAAACGGUCUUGGUUAAUACCUGGGGCUAAUGACGGUACCUGAAGAAUAAGCACCGGCUAACUACGUGCCAGCAGCCGCGGUAAUACGUAGGGUGCAAGCGUUAAUCGGAAUUACUGGGCGUAAAGCGUGCGCAGGCGGUUAUACAAGACAGAUGUGAAAUCCCCGGGCUCAACCUGGGAAUUGCAUUUGUGACUGUAUGGCUAGAGUGUGUCAGAGGGGGGUAGAAUUCCACGUGUAGCAGUGAAAUGCGUAGAUAUGUGGAGGAAUACCGAUGGCGAAGGCAGCCCCCUGGGAUAACACUGACGCUCAUGCACGAAAGCGUGGGGAGCAAACAGGAUUAGAUACCNUGGUAGUCCACGCCCUAAAACGAUGUCUACUAG
This 766-nucleotide ribosomal RNA is filed under the name Herbaspirillum sp. RNAcentral's name for it is "bacterial SSU rRNA". It matches the Rfam family "Bacterial small subunit ribosomal RNA", at positions 60 to 819 of the family's 1533-position model. The record is from RNAcentral. Lineage: Bacteria; Pseudomonadati; Pseudomonadota; Betaproteobacteria; Burkholderiales; Oxalobacteraceae.